RNAcentral lists this ribosomal RNA (465 nucleotides) under uncultured Desulfobulbus sp. Its description in RNAcentral is "bacterial SSU rRNA". It matches the Rfam family "Bacterial small subunit ribosomal RNA", at positions 922 to 1382 of the family's 1533-position model. The record is from RNAcentral. Lineage: Bacteria; Pseudomonadati; Thermodesulfobacteriota; Desulfobulbia; Desulfobulbales; Desulfobulbaceae.
GGCACAAGCGGUGGAGUAUGUGGUUAAUUCGAUGCAACGCAAAGAACCUUACCUGGUCUUGACAUCCCGGAGACCCUUAGGAAACUAGGGGGUGCUUCCAUCUGGAAGAAUCUGGAGACAGGUGCUGCAUGGCUGUCGUCAGCUCGUGUCGUGAGAUGUUGGGUUAAGUCCCGCAACGAGCGCAACCCUUGCCUUUAGUUGCCAGCAGUUCGGCUGGGCACUCUAAAGGGACUGCCGGUGUUAAACCGGAGGAAGGUGGGGAUGACGUCAAGUCCUCAUGGCCUUUAUGACCAGGGCUACACACGUACUACAAUGGCCGAUACAAAGGGCAGCGACACUGCGAGGUGAAGCCAAUCCCGUAAAAUCGGUCUCAGUCCGGAUUGGAGUCUGCAACUCGACUCCAUGAAGUUGGAAUCGCUAGUAAUCGUGGAUCAGCAUGCCACGGUGAAUACGUUCCCGGGCCUU